GACGAACGCUGGCGGCGUGCCUAAUACAUGCAAGUCGAGCGAACGGACCAUAAGCUUGCUUCUCUGAUGUUAGCGGCGGACGGGUGUGUAACACGUGUAUAACCCACCUAUAAGUCUGGUAUAAUUUCGGGAAAGCGGCGCUUAUACGGGAUAAUAUUUUGAACCGCAUGGUUCAAAAGUGAAAGACGGUCUUUCUGUCACGUAUAGAUGCAUCCGAGCUGCAUUAGCUAGUUGGUAGGGUAACGGCUUACCAAGGGGAGGAUGCAUAGCCGACCGGAGAGGGUGAUAGGCCACACUGGAGCUGAGACAGCGACCAGACGCCUGCGGGAGGCACCAGAAGGGAAUCGGACGCAACGGGCGAGAGCCUGACGGAGCGACGCCGCGUGAGUGAUGAAGGCGUUCGGAUCGGAAUACUCUGUUAUUGGGGAAGAACAGAUGUGUAAGUAACUGUGCAGAUCGUGACGGUACCUGAUCAAAAAGCCACGGCUAACUACGUG
This 497-nucleotide ribosomal RNA is filed under the name uncultured bacterium. RNAcentral's name for it is "partial 16S ribosomal RNA". It matches the Rfam family "Bacterial small subunit ribosomal RNA", at positions 28 to 507 of the family's 1533-position model. The record is from RNAcentral.